UCCUUGGGAGAGUUUCCUAAAGCAAUGAAAUCAUUUAAAAAACAUGGUUCCUGACUUUCACCCAGUAGCUUGAGGCAACCAGGAACCAGUCAGGAUCUUGAGUGUUCUCUUCUCAGCAUGAUUUUCAGACCUGAAUAUAGUAAAGUGAGAGAUAAGGACAAGAUAAAGGGGAUUUCUCUACCCCCUACAGGAGUAGAAAAAUGACAUUGUGGCUACCGGACCCAUGGCAGAUGUAAAUGAGUCCCAUCGCCCGUGGGUGCUCCUUGGUGGAGAUCAGUGCCCUGAGCAAGUGCGAGGGGUGGGGCAGAGUUGGUGAGAUUUGGGAUUCUGGCUCUUCAGUCUCUUGGGUCUCUGCAAUAGCCUCGGACACUUCUGUUGUCCAGAUGACCCUAAAUCCAUUUCAGACUCAUAAAAGAGGGGAACUAGCCAUCUCUAUCAUAUCCCUAUUCUCAGCUUGCUAUACCAGAAACUUUGGAGAAUUUCCCUGUUUGGAUGAGUUCCAGAAUUCUCUCAGUCUAGGUUGUGCAGUUAACAUGGUUCCUAUGAGGGAGAAACUCCUUCAUUAGAUUGUAAACUCCCUGAGGAGGGGCUGGGAGGUGGAAUUGUCUUUAUUUUGACUCUUUUUGUAUCCUUAGCACUUAGCAUAGCUCCUGGCUCUUGGUAGGCACUUAAUAAAUGUUUAUUGAAUUGAAUUGAA
Antechinus flavipes (yellow-footed antechinus) is the source of this 697-nucleotide long non-coding RNA. RefSeq lists it as uncharacterized. Lineage: Eukaryota; Metazoa; Chordata; Mammalia; Dasyuromorphia; Dasyuridae. The transcript is spliced from 3 exons. The record is from RefSeq and is a predicted model, not a curated record.